AGAUUGAACGCUGGCGGCAGGCCUAACACAUGCAAGUCGAGCGGCAGCACGGGUACUUGUACCUGGUGGCGAGCGGCGGACGGGUGAGUAAUGCCUAGGAAUCUGCCUGGUAGUGGGGGAUAACGCUCGGAAACGGACGCUAAUACCGCAUACGUCCUACGGGAGAAAGCAGGGGACCUUCGGGCCUUGCGCUAUCAGAUGAGCCUAGGUCGGAUUAGCUAGUUGGUGAGGUAAUGGCUUACCAAGGCGACGAUCCGUAACUGGUCUGAGAGGAUGAUCAGUCACACUGGAACUGAGACACGGUCCAGACUCCUACGGGAGCAGCAGUGGGAAUAUUGGACAAUGGACGAAAGCCUGAUCCAGCCAUGCCGCGUGUGUGAAGAAGGUCUUCGGAUUGUAAAGCUAACUUUAAGGUUGGGAGG
Molecule: ribosomal RNA, 422 nt
Filed under: uncultured soil bacterium
Lineage: Bacteria
Description: bacterial SSU rRNA
Rfam family: Bacterial small subunit ribosomal RNA
Source: RNAcentral